GAUGAACGCUGGCGGCGUGCCUAAUACAUGCAAGUCGAGCGAACAGACGAGGAGCUUGCUCCUCUGACGUUAGCGGCGGAUGGGUGAGUAACACGUGGAUAAGCUACCUAUAAGACUGGGAUAACUUCGGGAAACCGGAGCUAAUACCGGAUAAUAUAUUGAACCGCAUGGUUCAAUAGUGAAAGACGGUUUUGCUGUCACUUAUAGAUGGAUCCGCGCCGCAUUAGCUAGUUGGUAAGGUAACGGCUUACCAAGGCAACGAUGCGUAGCCGACCUGAGAGGGUGAUCCGCCACACUGGAACUGAGACACGGUCCAGACUCCUACGGGAGGCAGCAGUAGGGAAUCUUCCGCAAUGGGCGAAAGCCUGACGGAGCAACGCCGCGUGAGUGAUGAAGGUCUUCGGAUCGUAAAACUCUGUUAUUAGGGAAGAACAAAUGUGUAAGUAACUAUGCACGUCUUGACGGUACCUAAUCAGAAAGCCACGGCUAACUACGUG
Molecule: ribosomal RNA, 497 nt
Filed under: uncultured bacterium
Lineage: Bacteria
Description: partial 16S ribosomal RNA
Rfam family: Bacterial small subunit ribosomal RNA
Source: RNAcentral